Molecule: long non-coding RNA, 999 nt
Organism: Trematomus bernacchii (emerald rockcod)
Lineage: Eukaryota; Metazoa; Chordata; Actinopteri; Perciformes; Nototheniidae
Exons: 5
Source: RefSeq, a predicted model, not a curated record
AGAUGGAGGCUCGUUGACUAAACACAGAGGAGAGGAACACUUGAGAACCACAAGCUUUGCAGGGAUUGGAACCAACCAACAACAUAAGCGGUUAAGCGACAGGUCAGGGCAUGCUGGGAAAUGUAGACCUCCGCUCCUUUGAUCUGCUAAUGAGGACAAACAGGACCACAGUGUGACGGCUGACACAGGAACAGCGUACUGACACGGGACGUUGGGACAUAGCUUCUCCACAGGCGGGGUGCGUUGGACCCGGGGAAGACACUGAUCAGACUCGGGCGGUUCCCGUCUCGUGUGAAGUCGGUGACGGCGGUGAUUAAAACCGUGGCCCGGCCGCAGCUGCCCCCGCUACAGGCGUUGGGCCGCAGCUCCACCUGGCAGGCCGACAGCGCCACGUUUGGGGACUCGUGUCCGAGUCCGUCUGCGGAUGUCAACACAGCCGUGAGUUAGUGUGAAGGGACGACGCACAGCUGCCUGCAGGACUGUCAUCAUGUUCCUGAUGGUUCUUUGAUGUGAGGAUGUACGGGGCAAGUCACAGCAAAACACAAGAAAUGCUUUAAUGCAUGUUGUCCUGGAGUCUACUCUGAUCUAAUUGAAGGUCUGACCUGGGUCCUGCACGCUCAGAGCCAGAGGGACCCCACACUGGUGGCCGUGGUCGGGGCCGAAGCAGGGGAUGGGCACCGUGCUGUGCACCGUCACCUCGUGCUCUUUACUGUUCUCCACUAUGUGCAGCGAUUCUGGAGAGAACUGGAGAGAAAGAAGUCAUUGAUUAUCUCAGGUUCACCUUUGGCGCAGUAUCCCAUGCACCCCUGCGUGGGCUGCAGGCGGUACACCAUGAACACCCCACAGUUGCGCACGGUGACGGGGAUGCGGAAGAGGCAGCAGUCCUUGGCGCUGCCCUGGAAGAACUGCCAGGUGGCGCAGGCGGAGAGCUGCCGGAGCUCGCCGGGGCGCGGCAGGGGGGCGUCCUUCAGCGACAGCCACACCGGAGCCUGAGUGCCG